Molecule: non-coding RNA, 73 nt
Organism: Phrynosoma platyrhinos (Desert horned lizard)
Lineage: Eukaryota; Metazoa; Chordata; Lepidosauria; Squamata; Phrynosomatidae
Source: the annotation of a GenBank genome assembly
GUCAGUGUGGUGUAGUGGUUUGAGCGUAGGACUAUGACUCUAGAGGUCGGGGUUCAAAUCCAACCCCUGGGCC